UAAGUAGGGUGCGAGCGUUGUCCGGAAUUAUUGGGCGUAAAGAGCUUGUAGGCGGUUUGUCGCGUCUGCCUUGAAAUUUCGGGGCUCAACCCCGAACUUGCGGUGGGUACGGGCAGACUAGAGUGUGGUAGGGGAGACUGGAAUUCCUGGUGUAGCGGUGAAAUGAGCAGAUAUCAGGAGGAACACCGGUGGCGAAGGCGGCUUUCUGGACGACAACUGACGCUGAGACGCGAAAGCGUGGGGAGCAAACAGG
Molecule: ribosomal RNA, 253 nt
Filed under: uncultured bacterium
Lineage: Bacteria
Description: partial 16S ribosomal RNA
Rfam family: Bacterial small subunit ribosomal RNA
Source: RNAcentral